GAUGAACGCUGGCGGCGUGCCUAAUACAUGCAAGUCGAGCGAACAGACGAGGAGCUUGCUCCUCUGACGUUAGCGGCGGACGGGUGAGUAACACGUGGAUAACCUACCUAUAAGACUGGGAUAACUUCGGGAAACCGGAGCUUAUACCGGAUAAUAUAUUGAACCGCAUGGUUCAAUAGUGAAAGACGGUUUUGCUGUCACUUAUAGAUGGAUCCGCGCCGCAUUAGCUAGUUGGUAAGGUAACGGCUUACCAAGGCAACGAUGCGUAGCCGACCUGAGAGGGUGAUCGGCCACACUGGAGCGGAGACGCGGUCCAGACUCCUACGGGAGGCAGCAGUAGGGAAUCUUCCGCAAUGGGCGAAAGCCUGACGGAGCAACGCCGCGUGAGUGAUGAAGGUCUUCGGAUCGUAAAACUCUGUUAUUAGGGAAGAACAAAUGUGUAAGUAACUAUGCACGUCUUGACGGUACCUAAUCAGAAAGCCACGGCUAACUACGUG
RNAcentral lists this ribosomal RNA (497 nucleotides) under uncultured bacterium. RNAcentral describes it as "partial 16S ribosomal RNA". It matches the Rfam family "Bacterial small subunit ribosomal RNA", at positions 28 to 507 of the family's 1533-position model. The record is from RNAcentral.